UACGUAGGGAGCGAGCGUUGUCCGAAGUUACUGGGCGUAAAGCGCGCGUAGGCGGGCUGUUAAGUGAGAGGUGAAAGGCUGGGGCUUAACCCCAUGCAGUGCCUCUCAUACUGGCGGUCUUGAGUGCGGCAGGGAGAAGUGGAAUGGCUGGUGUAGCGGUGAAAUGCGUAGAUAUCAGGAGGAACACCUGUGGUGUAGACGGCUUUCUGGACCAUAACUGACGCUGAGACACGAAAGCGUGGGUAGCAAACAGG
RNAcentral lists this ribosomal RNA (254 nucleotides) under uncultured bacterium. RNAcentral's name for it is "partial 16S ribosomal RNA". It matches the Rfam family "Bacterial small subunit ribosomal RNA", at positions 524 to 776 of the family's 1533-position model. The record is from RNAcentral.